Non-coding RNA from Xenorhabdus cabanillasii JM26, 71 nucleotides. The record is from Rfam. NCBI's taxonomy places the organism in Bacteria, Pseudomonadati, Pseudomonadota, Gammaproteobacteria, Enterobacterales, Morganellaceae.
AUAUGCAUGACAUUGCUCACAUUGCUUCCAGUAUUUUUAUUAUUAGCCAGCUCGGGUGCUGGCUAUUUUUU